Molecule: long non-coding RNA, 412 nt
Filed under: Elaeis guineensis (African oil palm)
Lineage: Eukaryota; Viridiplantae; Streptophyta; Magnoliopsida; Arecales; Arecaceae
Description: long non-coding RNA (EGUI_LNC008529)
Source: RNAcentral
CUGCUGGUGGGUUAGAAGUGUUGGCAUUGUGUAUGGUUGCUUUAAUGUACAUUCCUUUUCGAAAGUUGGUGUCCUGGGGUGGCCUUUACCCUUAUUGGCUCUUCCUUUAAAACAUCCAAUUUUGGCUGCUCUCAUCUUUCCUUCUCUUCAAUGUGCUUGCAUGGUGAGACUAUAAACUUUUGGCUCAAGUCUAAUUACAUAGCUAUAUAUUGUUGUAUUCUAGGGCUGAGAUUCUAGUAUCCAACCCAUUCUGGGAGUCUAAUUAUGAACUGGGUUCUCAUACUCCAUUUUCCUUUGGAGGUAGCAUCGUUACAAGCUUAAGGGUGUAGUGGAUGAAGAUUCAUCUCUUCUACUCAAAAAUAUAGAGUAUACAUAGUUUUUUCUUAUUUUUAAUUUAAAACAAAUUUAACUG